Molecule: ribosomal RNA, 483 nt
Filed under: uncultured bacterium
Lineage: Bacteria
Description: partial 16S ribosomal RNA
Rfam family: Bacterial small subunit ribosomal RNA
Source: RNAcentral
GACGAACGCUGGCGGCGUGCUUUACACAUGCAAGUCGAACGGUGAAGGUGGAGCUUGCUCCGCCGGAUCAGUGGCGAACGGGUGAGUAACACGUGGGCAACCUGCCCCUAACUUUGGGAUAACUACUCGAAAGAGUAGCUAAUACCGGAUAUGAAGUCUGUAGGCACCUACGGAUUUGGAAAGUUUUUCGGUUAGGGAUGGGCCCGCGGCCUAUCAGCUUGUUGGUGAGGUAGUGGCUCACCAAGGCGACGACGGGUAGCCGGCCUGAGAGGGCGACCGGCCACACUGGGACUGAGACACGGCCCAGACUCCUACGGGAGGCAGCAGUGGGGAAUAUUGCGCAAUGGGCGAAAGCCUGACGCAGCAACGCCGCGUGCGGGAUGAAGGCCUUCGGGUUGUAAACCGCUUUCAGCAGGGAAGAAGCGAAAGUGACGGUACCUGCAGAAGAAGCACCGGCUAACUACGUGCCAGCCGCCGCCGUAA